AUGAGUUUUGCUGGAGCCUUUUGGCCAAGCAUUGAGAACAAAUGUUGGAGAUCUUCUGAAACACCUGGCUUUGGUGCUGGGUGCCUUAUACAGGUGAGGCCAUUCAAGCUAAAGGGGUGCAGCCAAGUUUAUAAAGUCACUAAGAGGAGCUGGUGGUCCUUGAGCCACCCAGGUCUUCAUGCCCGUGAAGCUAAAGCUGCAAAAAUCCCCGUGAAGCAGCCCCUGUUGGGAAAAAGAACCCCCCAAGCCAAAAUCCAAGGUUACCGAGUCCCUGCUGAAGCCGAAGGGGAGGGAUGCUGUUCGCCCCAGCCUGAGAAGCAGCAGGGAGGAGCAGCCCUGUCACUCUGGUUUAUUACAGAGUAUGAAAAGCAGGAAGCUUUCUGCUCACUUCAUACAUCUCCUCCGCAGAGCCAGCCAUCAGAAGCCAGCACAGACUCCAGACUGAUUAUUGUUACACAUGAUCUAUGGAGCAGAUAA
RNAcentral lists this long non-coding RNA (477 nucleotides) under Anas zonorhyncha (Eastern spot-billed duck). RNAcentral describes it as "lncRNA (ENSAZOG00000008829.1)". The record is from RNAcentral. Lineage: Eukaryota; Metazoa; Chordata; Aves; Anseriformes; Anatidae.